Molecule: ribosomal RNA, 422 nt
Filed under: uncultured Prevotella sp.
Lineage: Bacteria; Pseudomonadati; Bacteroidota; Bacteroidia; Bacteroidales; Prevotellaceae
Description: bacterial SSU rRNA
Rfam family: Bacterial small subunit ribosomal RNA
Source: RNAcentral
UGAGGAAUAUUGGUCAAUGGGCGAGAGCCUGAACCAGCCAAGUAGCGUGCAGGAUGACGGCCCUAUGGGUUGUAAACUGCUUUUUAAGGUGAAUAAAGAGGGGCACGUGUGCCCUGUUGCAUGUAACCUUGGAAUAAGGACCGGCUAAUUCCGUGCCAGCAGCCGCGGUAAUACGGAAGGUCCGGGUGUUAUCCGGAUUUAUUGGGUUUAAAGGGAGCGUAGGCCGCAGGUUAAGUGUGUUGUGAAAAGCAGUCGCCCAACGUCUGCCUUGCAGCGCAAACUGUCCUGCUUGAGUGCGCACAACGCAGGCGGAAUUCGUCGUGUAGCGGUGAAAUGCUUAGAUAUGACGAAGAACUCCGAUUGCGAAGGCAGCUUGCGGGAGCGCAACUGACGCUGAAGCUCGAAAGUGCGGGUAUCGAACA